UUAAUUAAAGCCAAAAAGAGGCAUCUUAAUGUUAAUAAGAAUAAUGGAAUUAUACCUAAUUAAA
This 64-nucleotide transfer RNA is filed under the name Batracomorphus curvatus. RNAcentral describes it as "tRNA-Asn". The record is from RNAcentral. Lineage: Eukaryota; Metazoa; Arthropoda; Insecta; Hemiptera; Cicadellidae.